This 72-nucleotide small RNA is filed under the name Endobacter medicaginis. RNAcentral describes it as "Makes More Granules Regulator RNA (mmgR)". It matches the Rfam family "Makes More Granules Regulator RNA (mmgR)". From Rfam's summary of the family: SuhB later renamed mmgR (makes more granules regulator) was a putative non-coding RNA found multiple times in the Agrobacterium tumefaciens genome and related alpha-proteobacteria. The record is from Rfam by way of RNAcentral. Lineage: Bacteria; Pseudomonadati; Pseudomonadota; Alphaproteobacteria; Acetobacterales; Acetobacteraceae.
UUUGCACGCCGUCUUGGACGUUUCCUCCCUAAACUUGGCGGUGCCUUCGGGCGCCGCUUUUUUUUGCCGUAU